AUGAAUUGUAAUGGGAGCUGAUGCUGGCAGUCUGACUUGACUGCAUGUGCUCGCUUUCAACAAUCUUUAUCCCAAACACCCUGUGCACCUUAUGUGAGGGGUUAUCCGAGUUGAUUGCUGCCAUUAUCUGGUGGUUUUCUUUGGAUUCCCUUCACAAUUAUAACACACUCUGAUUAUAAUGCUGAACGUGAUUGUGCCUGAUCAAGGCCUUAAUAAAAUACAACUUUUAACAACGGAUCUCUUGGCUCUCGCAUCGAUGAAGAACGCAGCGAAAUGCGAUAAGUAAUGUGAAUUGCAGAAUUCAGUGAAUCAUCGAAUCUUUGAACGCACCUUGCGCUCCCUGGUAUUCCGGGGAGCACGCCUGUUCGAGUGUCGUGAAAUUCUCAAGCUGGAUGCUUUUUCCUUGGAAAAGUGAUCCUAGCUUGGUUAUUGGGCUUUGCUGUGUCUUGCAUUGGAACAGCUGGCCUUAAAAGUAUUAGCUGACCUUUAUGUGAUUAUUGGUUCUACUCAGCGUGAUAAUGAAUCUGACCGCUGAGGACAUCUUUCGGGAUGGCCAAUUUCCGUUUGGGUUGCUUCUAAUCUGGUUUAUGGAUUCCUUGUGGAUCUGUUCCAUUUUUCAAC
Molecule: small RNA, 621 nt
Filed under: uncultured Clavulina
Lineage: Eukaryota; Fungi; Basidiomycota; Agaricomycetes; Cantharellales; Hydnaceae
Description: eukaryotic LSU rRNA
Rfam family: 5.8S ribosomal RNA (bases 222-375)
Source: RNAcentral